UACGUAGGGUGCGAGCGUUAAUCGGAAUUACUGGGCGUAAAGCGUGCGCAGGCGGCGCGUUAAGACAGGUGUGAAAGCCCCGAGCUUAACUUGGGAAUUGCGCUUGUGACUGGCGUGCUGGAGUGUGGCAGAGGGAGGUGGAAUUCCACGUGUAGCAGUGAAAUGCGUAGAUAUCAGGAGGAAUACCGAUGGCGAAGGCAGGUCUCUGGGCUGACACUGACGCUCAUGCACGAAAGCGUGGGGAGCAAACAGG
This 253-nucleotide ribosomal RNA is filed under the name uncultured bacterium. Its description in RNAcentral is "partial 16S ribosomal RNA". It matches the Rfam family "Bacterial small subunit ribosomal RNA", at positions 524 to 776 of the family's 1533-position model. The record is from RNAcentral.